Molecule: long non-coding RNA, 2922 nt
Filed under: Triticum aestivum (bread wheat)
Lineage: Eukaryota; Viridiplantae; Streptophyta; Magnoliopsida; Poales; Poaceae
Description: long non-coding RNA (TAES_LNC000051)
Source: RNAcentral
UCACCCAAUUCUUCCGAUCCGUCAUCUCCCCUCCCCCUCGAUUCCCAUCUCACCCGAGCUCCAUGACCACGAUGCUGACCGCCACCACUUAUUUCUGCUAACUCAGGCGCUCUCCCACGGCGUCGCUCACCAGCCAGGCUGCUCCUUAGUCCUCUCCUCUGAUUCUCCACCGCCGCGACUCCCUCCUCACCGCUGCACAUGACCCAGCAGCAACCCUAGCCGCCACGGGCCGCCCGUGCGAAUCCCGUGUAGGCCCUCUACCCCACGUCUAUGUAUGCGCCGGUGCCAACUCGGGCCCGACGAUGCUGCUCCGCCUUGGCUACCUCGCCUCCGACACCGACGAUUUAGUAAGGCACUUGUCUCGUCUGCUGGUACCCCUCUGAUUCUUUGUGGUGGCAUAGCAUCAUUCCAUGGUCGAUUCUCUGCCGGAAAUUGCAAAUGUGAUCUACGCUACUUAGUGUUAGCCAUCGUGGUGUCGUACAUCACGGCUAGAUAACACCCCAUCACGGUCAGUUACCUUACUGGAUGCUCCCAAAUUCACUUAACCAUUCUAGGUAUUUUAGUUUCGUCCUUGCAUCUUUCAGGGUGCACUGCUAUAUAGUUCUGCACAUGCAAGCCAGUUGUUUCUAGUUUGGUUGAUCUAUUUGGAUAUAUGGUUGAGUCCAUAUGUGUUAAUUCUGAAAGAGUGCUUGCGUCCUUUUUUUAAUCUCAAUAGUUCGUUCUUGUUGCUAUGUCUGUGGAUGAAUCCUUACCGAUUUCAUUGUCACAUGUUGUGUAAUACUAUAAGAAUAAGUCUCACAUGCGUCCAUCUAUCCUAAUAUUCCACUUUAUUGUAUAUAUAAUCCUUAAUUUCAUCUUCCCUUACAAUUUCUGAAACUGACCUUGCUUCAGUCAACAUGUGUCUGUUUCUUGGGUUGCAUUCUCAUCCUUGUAGUAGUUCGAUCUGUUGUGUCGAUGAACAUCCACGUGAGGCUGCAGGAUGGAUGUGAGUUACCAAAACAUUGUCUCUCUUAAUCAAUAUAUCACUGACUCAGUUUCAAUUGUUGAUCCACCUGUUGAGUCCAACAUUUAGUUGACCUUUUCAUUGUGGUGCUUGUAGAAUGGUGUCGUGGCAGCACUACACAAUUAACUAACGACGGCGAGCAACAUCACAGCUCUUCUCAUUGUGUGCACAUGUUGUGGAGCCGCCGGCCUGCUCAAGCCGCCCUCAAUCAGUGCCAACCCUGUGUGAGAAAACUGUAUGGUACUGAUUUCUUAGGUUGUAAGGUUAUGUCUUCCCCUAGGAUUUAAGGUGGUGAACUAUGAUAUACUAUGACUGUAACAUGGUUUGUUGUUUCUUGACUUAUUUCAAUAAUAACUUCAGUGCUUGAGUCAUAACCCUGUAAGGUUUCACCUUGCUCCAAUUACUCAAUCAGAACUCGUGGUUCUACAUGUUGUUGGCUCUCAACUUCCUUCAAUCAGCAUCCGAUCCUUCACAAGAUCAUGAAGUAUUUAUGUCUCACUGGUUCUUCACCGGCCAUAGGAGUUGAUAUAAACAUCAAUAUGCUCAUGGUAAUACACCCUACUUUGCAUACUAAACCAUAUUGAGCUAUUUUAAAUGCAGAACAUCUUUAAUAAACUGAAGAUGAUGUCACAACCCUACUUUGGUUUAUAGAUUACAAAGAGAUUGCCCAAUCUGGAAAACAAAAGGUGGAUGCCAAGGUGAACAGUCGUGUGAUGCCUGCAGCGGGGAUGUUGAAAAGUUUGUGUAAGUUCUUUUGGAUUGCUCUCAAAUAUAAAUUUCUUCAUACGCGUGCGCUGAUGUAGAAACAACAAUUGUCUCAGAUAUCUUCUGAAAGAUCAUGUGUCAUGAUAUUUGAGCAAAGAAGUGUGUAAUUUCCCAAUCUACAUUAGUAGUGCUAUUUUGAUGCAAUGCUACAUUUGAUAUCUUCUAGUAUUCCUUGUAGAUUUUGUGUUGAUCUAAAUAUUGUACUAAACUUAUCUGUAUAGUUGUAUACAGAGUUGCUAAGGGACCUGUAGCAUAGAGAGGCUAAUAUGCCAUUUUGUCAAGAUAAUUAGACUUCUUGUACUAAAGUUUACUAUAGCAAUUUGUACUAAAAUUUACCUUGUUUUACAAAAUUAUCUUGUUUCUAAUUUUUGCAUUAUUGUACAAAAAUUUGCCUUGCUACUGUUGUACUAAAAUUUAACCAUUGAGUAGGUAGUAAGAAUUCAAGGGAGCAAAAAUAAUGAGAAAGGAGCACUCGGGAAAAUUUGCCUUGCUACUGUACGUAUUUUUGAAUUAUUGAAACCUUUCAUCUAUUUAUAUUUUCUGGGAACUGCGUAUCUUUCUUUGAAACCAAAGGAUGUGUUGCAUGUUAACACAUGUUUAUUUUAAGGAAGUACCUCAUUUCUUACAUAGUAUGUUUGCUUUAAGGUUUGCAUUAACUCAAUUGACGUAUAGUAGAUUUGUUUAUAAGAAAACAAGGAUCAAAAGGAUUUGUUAGAUGUAGGCUAUUAAUCUACUUUUCUGCAUACAAAGCUACUAAUGUAGUGACCUUCAAGCAUUGUAUGUUCCUCCUCCUUUACAUUUUGCUGCUCUAUUAACCUCAUUUUCUCUACAGUAAGUUGCUCAUCUCAUUUCUUUGUUUUUGUAGAUUGCCAAGAUAAUAUGGAUGAUGCGUGGAUCAGAUGUUGAUCGCAAGGAUGAUAAUGGGCUACUCUAGAUAAUUAGAAUGUCAUUUUCAGGACAAUUUUGAAACAUUAUAGUUGGUUGCAAGGUUGAGAGUUUGGCUACUGCUAGAUAGUUUCACAUCAUGUAAUAUCUGGAUCGUGUUCUUUGUAAUGCAACAUUGUUGAUUUAAUAUAUGUGACCUUCCUGUUUAUUAUUUUGUGGCUCCUAUACACUAUCUAUAUUGACCUAAUAAUUCUGGAUGGCAAUCUAUA